Molecule: long non-coding RNA, 12473 nt
Filed under: Sorghum bicolor (sorghum)
Lineage: Eukaryota; Viridiplantae; Streptophyta; Magnoliopsida; Poales; Poaceae
Description: long non-coding RNA (SBIC_LNC011233)
Source: RNAcentral
UCCAGCGUGGAUCUUGCUGAGCUUGAGAUUGUUGAAAUAUAGCUGAAUUUCCAUCUAUGUAGCUGAAAUUGGAGUCGCUUUGAUACCGUCAAUGUUGAUCAAGAAUACUGCAGUUGCUUCGAUACCACCAUCUUGAAUCAAGAAUAAAAAAGUGCCAUGUUGAAUUGUCACACCCAAUUUUAAGGAUAAAAUUGAAUGCAAAACCUUAUGUGUGCCCAGAGAUCAAUCACACAUAAGCCGACAAAUUAUAGGGAGUAUCAUCACAAGUGUUUAAUACAUAACGAUAUAACUCAGAGUCUUUACACAAAUAUAGCGGAAAAUAAAAGAUAACUCUUGCAUGGAAGAUCCAUCUCACGGGCACGUCAACUGGUUGACCACAAGUCUAGAAAUCCUCAGGAAAGUACUGGUAGUAGUCAUUACCAUUGCCAUCUGUUACCCAUCCGGGAUUUUUAUCCAAAUAAAGAAAAUAAACAAGUGUAAGUACACCUCGUACUUAACAAGUAUAACAGGGGGUUCAUGAGGCUCAAAGGCUAGACACUGGUUCAACUGCAUGUAGCUUUUAGUUGUCACAAUUUUAGCAUAAGAGUAGCAUCAAGUUGUCAAGACCCAUAGUAAACUCAUGAUCAGGUAAAGUGAAUAAAGAAUAGCAUAACAGCAUAUUAACAAUAAUAACAUUUAAUGAAGUGCCAUUAGGUUCAUUUAUUCUGUAUUGGUCCAAGGCCGCUCGUGACCGUGAGCACGGCUGAUAUAUCAGUUUUACACUCUGCAGAGGUUGUACACUUUCACUGUGAGUCGUGAUUUACCCUUUCGCCCGAGGUGAUCAGCCCCUUAGCCCACUCCCAAGGAAGACCGGCAGGGUUCACUAUGAAGCCUUUCAAAGGUUCGUCUAACAAGUUAGGGCCGCUAGGUUUCGUUAGUCAGUCCGUGUGACUCACCCGCAGGAAUCCACGGUCUGCUAUCCCCCACUUGCGCCACAAGGGUAACCACUAACAAGCUAGAAAAGGUCCUCAUACUGAGCUAAAGCCAGAGCCAUAUAGCCCUCACAGUUGUACUGUAAGUCCCGGAUGGUCAGAUACAGAUAAGUCCUUAUGGAGAGAAACUAGAGCACCAUAUAAUAGCCCAAUGCUCCAGCCCUCUUUUUCCAAUGUUGCUAAAAAGUCAUCUUUAAUGUUUAUUGCAUAAUUCUUUAGUCAAAUUACAAGAUCAUGGUUUAGUGGAGCACUAGCAUAAGCUACCUAAUGCCAAACCAUAGGUGACAAGGUAUAAGAUCAAUACUAGGUAAUCCUUAUCAAGGAGACACAUGCAAUAUGAUUUGUGUGAUUAAAGUUAUUAGGAAACAAGGAUGAUCCCAUGCUAUACUUGCCUUGAUCACCCUGGUCCUGCUGAUCCUGCUCGUAGAAGUACUCUUGUUCACCCACGAACUGCUCACCGUCUACUUGUAACCACCACAUCAACAACAAUCAUCCAAAGGCAAUCAUGCAAAGCAAACAAGCCUAUUAUUAGAACAGUACACCAACAGUAAUAAAUAAAGAUAAAAAGUUUAUAAAACGAAUCUACAACGCCCUAUGAUCACACAGACGUAAAGAUCACGAAAAUCGGAGUUAUAACGAAGAAGUUAUGAUUUUCCAAAGUUUUACUUUAGAUAAAUAAUAGAUUAAAUCUAAACUCAGAUUUAAAAAGUUGAAAACUUGUACUACAGUAGCAUUAGACUAUAGAUUAUGCGAAAACGAAUCUAACGCAACUUGAACGGAUUAAAUCGGAGUUAAAACGAAGUUUUUAUGAGCAAAAUAGAUUCGAUGGCAAAACUGUAAAUCUGGGAAACUUCUUUUUGAACUGCGCGGCUGGAAUACGUUUUCCAACUUGGAAAGCGUAAAACGGGAAAGCGUAAAGGACUGCGGGUUAUAACAUUAAAAAGCGCAGGGGGUUUUCUGAAAAAUAGCCGGCCGAAGGGGUAUCCUUCGUUUCUGGCCGUUGGAUCUCAAACCGGUGGCCAGGAUUAGAUCGGGGUGGGGGAAGGGGAAACCGGCCGGCCGGAGUUGAGCAUGGCGCGACGGCUCCAUGGCCGGAGUUGGCCGGCGUUCGGCGUCCGGUUGACUUAGGGCACUAGAAAGAGAACCGAAAGCACCGGGGCGCUCAGAAGCUUGUCGCGAACUCACCUGAGGCAAGAACCGCGACAAAGAAAGGCCGGCUAGGGCUCGCGACGACGAACGGCGGACGACGGCUCUGCAAAGAGGUUCGGCGAGGGUUAGCAUUGAGCACGGUGCACGAAAACGAGAAGGGAAAGUUUCGGCGACUUCGUAAGGCGAUUCCGACGCCCGGCCAGCUGCUCACGGAGACUCACAGGCGCUGCAGCGGUGGAUUGGGUCACGGCGGAUCUCGGUGGUGAGCUUGAGCGAAAAUCGACGCGGUGGCUGCGGCUGGGGAUGAAUUGGGGGGUUGCGGGGCUUCGGGGCGGUAUUUAAAGGACGGGAAUCGGGCGAAAUCGAGACUCCUCGCCCGAAUCGCGCGCGUGGUUGAGCUCGGACUCGUGUCCUGGCCGGACUCAAGGUGGAAGACGACCCUGACCGCUGGGCCCCACCUGUCGGUGACACGGAAGCGUGGGGUCGGCCUGUCAUCUGCUGCGGCGAAGGGAGAGGAGGUGCGCGGCGCUGGUUGUCCUCCUGGGCCGCGAGGCGGGCCGACUGGCGCUGGGCCGGAGCAAGGAGGAGAAAGGGGGAAGGGGGCAGGCAGGCCGCGGGGGAAAAGAAAUGGGCCGAGCCCGAGAGAAGAAGGGGAAGAGGAAAUGCGGGCCGCGGGGGGGGAAAGAAGGGGUUGGGCCAAGCCCAAGUCGGGUAGGGAGAGGGAAAUGUCCUUUUCCAAUUUUCCAAUUUAUGUUUUGCUCAAAUAUUUUGAAAAGAAAAACAAAACCAAUUUGAAAAGAAAAACUUCACACACAAAAAUACAUGCAGCAGCAUGAAUGCACAUACAUGUUUCUAAAUCCUAUAGUGAAUUUUAUUCCAAAAAUUAUUUUCUCACUAUUCUUUAGUGCCCACAUGAGAUAAUUAAAUCAAUUAGCCUAUUUGGAAAAGUGAAAUUUUUAGGGUGUUACAAUUCUACCCCCCUUAAGAUGAAUCUCGUCCUCGAGAUUCGGUUGGUGCUUACUCAAACAACUGAGGAUACGAUUUUCUUAAGUCUUCUUCUCUUUCCCACGUAGCCUCUUCCUCGGUAUAUCUAUUCCACUGUACUCUGCACAUUCUGAUGACCCGACUCCUAGUGACUCUUUCUGCUGUUUCCAAAAUUCGAAUCGGAUAUUCUUCAUAAGUAAGAUCUCCUUUAACAGUUAAUUCCUCUAUCGGUAUCUGCUCUUCUGGCACUCGCAAGCACUUCUUAAGCUGUGACACGUGGAAGACAUCAUGCACUCCUUUUAAACUCUCAGGCAGUUCCAACUGGUAUGCCACUUCGCCUCGCCUUUCCAACACUCUGAAAGGCCCAAUAUACCUUGGUGCUAACUUCCCUUUCAUGUUAAAUCUUCUCACACUUCUCAUAGGGGAAACCUUCAAAUACACAUAGUCUCCUACUUCAAAAGCCAACUCUCUUCUUCGUGUAUCAGCAUAACUCUUCUGCCGAGACUGUGCUGCUCUCAAGUUCUCUCGAAUUAUUCUCACCUGCUGUUCUGCAUCUCGUAACACAUCUGGUCCAAACACUUGUGUUUCUCCCGCUUGAUUCCAAAACAACGGGGUUCUACACUUCCGACCAUACAAGGCUUCAAAUGGUGCCAUCUGGAGACUUUUCUGAUAGCUGUUGUUGUAUGAAAACUCUGCAUAUGGCAAACUCUUAUCCCAACUCGUCCCAUACUGCAAAGCACAUGCCCUCAGCAUAUCUUCUAAAAUUUGAUUUGUCCUCUCAGUCUGCCCAUCAGUCUGAGGAUGGUAUGCUGUACUAAAAUUCAGCUUAGUCCCCAGAGACUCAUGCACUUUCUGCCAAAAGUGAGAUGUAAACUGGGUACCUCGAUCAGAUACUAUCUUCCUGGGGACCCCAUGCAAACACACUAUUCUUUCCAUGUACAACUCAGCUAAUUUUGGUCCACUAUAUUUGGUCUUGACUGGGAUAAAGUGAGCAACCUUUGUUAACCGAUCCACUAUUACCCAUAUAGAGUCAUAACCUUUCUGAGUGCGGGGUAAUCCCACUAUGAAGUCCAUACCAACUUCCUCCCACUUCCACUCGGGGAUCUUCAUUGGUUGCAACAAUCCUGCCGGUCUCUGAUGUUCUGCUUUGACCCUCUGGCAAGUAUCACACAAAGCGACAUACUCCGCAACAUCUCUUUUCAGGCCAUACCACCAAUACUUCUCUUUUAGGUCUAGGUACAUCUGAGUGCUGCCAGGGUGUAUAGAAUAAGCGGACUCGUGUGCCUCCCGCAGAAUUGCCUCUCUAAUAGACCGAUCCUCCGGCACACAUAGCCUUUUCCCAAACCAUAGUGUCCCAUUAUCAUCCAUUCGGAAACCUGGUGCCUUUCCGAUCACUAUGUUUUCAGCUAUCUCCUUCAGCUUUUCAUCCUGUAACUGACCCUUUCGUAUUUCUUGCUCCAAGGUAGGUUCUAUUACUAACUCCACUGCAUUAAUAACAAAACCCAAGUUCAAAAGUGAAAUUUCAGCACACAACUCCUCAGCCAUAGAGGCUAUUUGCACCUCGUUGGCAUAGCUCUUCCUGCUUAGGGCGUCUGCAACUACAUUUGCCUUCCCCGGGUGGUAGUGUACCUCCAAAUCAUAAUCCUUGAUCAGUUCUAACCACCGACGUUGCCUCAAAUUCAGAUCCGACUGUGUGAAUAUAUACUUCAAACUCUUAUGGUCCGUGUAUAUGUCACUCUUAUGACCAAUAAGAUAGUGUCUCCAGAUCUUCAAGGCAUGAACCACUGCGGCUAACUCCAAGUCAUGAGUAGGAUAAUUCAACUCAUGCUUCCUCAACUGUCGGGAUGCAUAUGCCACUACUCUUCCUUCUUGCAUAAGAACACACCCAAGUCCUAGACGGGAUGCAUCACAAUAUAUGGAGAAAUUCUUGCUUAGAUCUGGUAGUACUAACACUGGAGCUGUAGUCAACCGCUUCUUCAACUCCUCGAAAUUUUCUUGACACUUCUCAGACCACACAAACUUGGCGUUUUUCUCAAGCAGAGCUGUCAUUGGUUUGGCAAGCUUGGAGAAUCCCUCAAUGAAUCUUCGGUAAUAACCAGCCAAUCCCAAGAAGCUGCGGAUUCCACUCACAUCGGUAGGUGGUUUCCAAUCGAGCACAUCCUUCACCUUGCUUGGAUCCACUGCUAUUCCUCCAUUAGAGACAACAUGGCCUAGAAAGGAAACUUCCUUCAACCAAAACUCACACUUGCUUCGUUUAGCAUAUAACUUGUGUUCCCGAAGCUUCUGCAAGACUAACCUCAGAUGCUCAGCGUGCUCUCGCUCAGUCUUGGAGAAUACCAAUAUGUCGUCAAUAAACACCACCACAAACUUAUCAAGAAACUCCAUGAACACCUUAUUCAUCAGGUACAUAAAGUAAGCAGGAGCAUUGGUCAGACCGAAAGACAUCACUGUGUACUCAUACAAACCAUACCGGGUUGUGAAUGCUGUCUUUGGUAUAUCAGUGGCACGAAUCUUCAGCUGAUGGUAUCCAGAACGAAGAUCGAUCUUGGAAAACACACAAGCACCUCUCAACUGAUCAAACAAAUCAUCAAUUCUAGGCAAUGGAUAUUUAUUCUUGAUUGUGACCUCAUUGAGUGACCGGUAGUCUACACACAUCCUCUGUGUACCAUCUUUCUUAUCGACAAAAAUCACUGGUGCCCCCCAAGGUGAAGAGCUAGGACGUAUGAACCCUUUUUCCUGCAACUCCUUUAUUUGUUUCUUGAGUUCUUCUAAUUCUUUAACCCCCAUUCUAUAUGGACGUUUAGCUAUAGGUGCAGUGCCAGGUAAUAAUUCAAUAAUAAACUCAAUGUCACGGUCGGGUGGCAUACCUGGCAAAUCAUCGGGGAACACGUCUGGGAACUCAUCCACAACCAAGCCCUCCUGAUUGGCACUGUUAUCAAGCUGGUUCACUGUAGCUGUUGGCUGAGGCUGAACUGCAACUUCCACACAGAUUCUGUCCCCUUUUGGUGUUGUUAAUGCAACUGCCUUUCCUUUACACUGAAUUGAUGCAUCUUGUUGUUUCAUCCAAUCCAUUCCCAGAAUCACAUCUAUACCAGAUGCUCUCAACACAAUUGGACUUAUCUUGAACUCUACCCCCCUUAAGUUUAAAGUAAGCGGGAGGCAACUAUAAGCAGCUUGCAUACUUCCCCCCGGUGAAUUUACUAAUAUGGGAUUCUUCAUGGCACAUAAGGGUAGGCUAUGUAUUCUAACAAAUGCUUGUGAUAUGAAAGUAUGCGAAGCUCCAGAAUCAAAAAGAACAGAUGCGGGGAUAGAGUUGACUUCGAACGUACCGAGCAUAACUUCCGGUUCCUGCUGUGCUGUCUCAGAGGACAUAUGGUUCACCCUUCCAGUGUUGGGAGCUGACUUCUGGUUGCUAUUUUGCUUCUGGGGGGUGUGCUGAUUUUGUUUUUCAGGGCAGUGAUAUGAUAGGUGACCCUCUUUACCACAGCGGUAACACUUGUUGGGGGUGUUAGGGGCACUAGUCUUCAUCGGAGUGUUACUGGGCGUACCCUGGCGUGACGUCUGCUGAUUUCCCUGCUGCUGAUUCUGCUGAUACUGCGGGCGCUGCUGGAACUGAUUGCGCUGGGGGUACUGACCACGAUUCCACUGUGAAGGUGGUCCUUGGUACCUUUGCUGAGAGCCUUGCUGCUGGUUGGUGCGUUGACGAGUAUUACUUCCGGAGGCCUGUCCCUGCAUCCUCUUCCUUUUAGCAUCCAUCUCCUUACGCUUGUUAUCCACCACGAUAGCACGGUUCACAAGUGUCUGAUAGUUGGGGUAUUCAUUGGACAUCAGCUGGAGUUGGAGCCCAUCAUACAAUCCCUUCAAAAAGAGGCGCUGUUUAUCAGCAUCGUUAGCCACCUCACUGGGAGCAUAGCGCGACAACUGAGCAAACUUGUCCCUAUACUCCGGAACUGUCAUAGAACCCUGCUUCAAAUUCCGGAACUCCUCUGCCUUCAGUUCUAUUAACCCUUCAGGUAUGUGAUAGGACCUAAAGUUCUCCUUGAACUCCAACCAUGUGAUAGCAGGUGCAUUGGGAGGUCGUCCAUACUCAAACGACUCCCACCACGUCUGAGCUUCUCCCUGAAGUUGUCCCGAUGCGAACAACACCUUCUGCCUAUCAUCACACUGUGCUAUGUUGAGUUGCUUCUCCACUGCUCGAAGCCAGUCAUCUGCCUCCAGUGGGUCAGUAGCAUGUGUGAACACAGGGGGAUGACCUUUCAAAAAUUCACCCCGCUUAUCACGCGGUGGUGCUCCUCCGAUUGGGUGAUUCUGUUGGUUGUUCACCAGGGCUUCCAUAAGCUGCGUCUGAACUGCUAGUAGCUGUUCAAUGGUGGCGGGUGGGUUGAGUGGGACACCCCUUCCACGUCCUCUACCUCUUGGCGGCAUCUGUCAUAACAUUAAAACUUUAGAAACUCCCAAAAUAUAGACUUUCAUACACAAGCUGCAAUCCUGAAAACUUUCUGAGUGAGUCCAGUGCCAGCAGUUCAGUAAAACGAUCAUAACUUGAGAUAUAAAAGUCCAACAGAGGCGAAACUUUGAUGGUUGGAAAGCUUAAGAAAUUGCCUACAACUUUUAUUUAGAACACAAAUUCAGAUUCGGACAUUAGAUUAGCCAUAAACUGUCUCCAACCGAAACUGUCCCAGAACUCAAACUGCACAGGAACCUCUGUUUUCAACAUUCAUAACUCUCGGCUUAGAUCAGAUAAAAAGGUGAUUCCAGCGGCAUAGGAAAGAUGCUUAAGUCUAGUUAUUCCCAUAAAAUUUUCAUAAUUUUUGGUCGAACGGAUUUUUCUGGGUAAAAUUAUUAAGACAGAAAGGUUUAAGGAACGAAAACAGGAAAGACAGAUUUUUCCAACCCAACUAUUUAUUCAUUAAACCUUAAUCCUUAAUAACCUAAACUAUGGAACUUGUAGACAUGCCUACAAUGUCCCAGCACUCAUUACAAAGAUCCAACUCACUCAUGAACAUAAUAACAAGCAACUAAGCAUAACAAAAGCACACCACACUAACUUGACUCAACUCACUAGCGCUUCUAACGGCUUAUUACAAAUAGGGACUUCCAACACUAAGGGCGUGGUUCAUAGUCAAGUUUUCCAUAGAUCUUGGGCUGUCCUUCCCUCUCACGAUGCUCGUCAAUCAUCUUGUAGCACCUCUUGAGAGCCUUCCCUUGUGCUAUCACCAUGUCUUGCAAUUUCAAAUGCUUUUCCACCAUCUCAUGAGCGAAGUACACCAUCACUCGGGAGACUGGGUCCAAAUCUGUUGGCUCCAGCAUUCCCCAUCCGUGUUCCGGGUCCAGGCGGGGUAGAUAACGGUGUAUGUCCCACCGCAUGUUACCGAAACGCUGCUCUCGGAGGAACAAACAUGCUGUGAAAGCUGCUUCCUCCAUGCUCUCUUCCAUGGUAGCCCUAUGUCCAUCAUGACGGUAGCCCCUGUCCUUCAAGUAGGCAUCUUUCUCCACAUCUUUGGGAAAGAUCAGCACCUUGGACUUCCAGUAGGUGUUCUCCAGGGGGUGUGUGUACUCAAUGCAGGAAUACUCCACCACUGCAUCCCAGUCAGAAAAGUAAUUCUCCAACAUUCCCACUAGCCGGUGAUGUGACGGAGCGUUGCACGAAGCCUUGUGGUACACCUUUCUAGUCCACCCUAUGGGAGGGGACUCAUCCUCUUCAGCAGGUCCAUCUUGUGGUGGUGAUGGGGGUUGACCUCCUCCGGGAGCACCUUCUUCUUCAUCAUCGGAAAUAAGUAUGAACUCCUGGGGCUCCUCCUCUGGUUCAGACUCCACUUGCGAUAGCUCUGGCCCAGAUGCUUGCUCUGAAGGUGGUGGGGUCUCCUCGUGCUCCGGUGAACUCUCCUCUUGCGGCUCCAUAGGCUCGUAUUGGUAACGAGGUGGGUGGUACCCUCCAGUGGAGAUACGGGCGGUCUUGUUGGCACGAACCAUCUAUAGAAUGGACCGGAGAGAAGUUAGAUUAGAAUCAAUGAUUUCAUAAUAGAAUAAGAUGAUAGAAGCGUAAAGUUUUUAGAAAAUAACAAGAGCAAGAUGGUAAGCAUGAAUGUAGAGAAGAAAAGACUACGGAAACGACCGUUUCUAUCUAGGCUUGCGUCCUACAGUCAACACGGCUCUGAUACCAAUUUGUCACACCCAAUUUUAAGGAUAAAAUUGAAUGCAAAACCUUAUGUGUGCCCAGAGAUCAAUCACACAUAAGCCGACAAAUUAUAGGGAGUAUCAUCACAAGUGUUUAAUACAUAACGAUAUAACUCAGAGUCUUUACACAAAUAUAGCGGAAAAUAAAAGAUAACUCUUGCAUGGAAGAUCCAUCUCACGGGCACGUCAACUGGUUGACCACAAGUCUAGAAAUCCUCAGGAAAGUACUGGUAGUAGUCAUUACCAUUGCCAUCUGUUACCCAUCCGGGAUUUUUAUCCAAAUAAAGAAAAUAAACAAGUGUAAGUACACCUCGUACUUAACAAGUAUAACAGGGGGUUCAUGAGGCUCAAAGGCUAGACACUGGUUCAACUGCAUGUAGCUUUUAGUUGUCACAAUUUUAGCAUAAGAGUAGCAUCAAGUUGUCAAGACCCAUAGUAAACUCAUGAUCAGGUAAAGUGAAUAAAGAAUAGCAUAACAGCAUAUUAACAAUAAUAACAUUUAAUGAAGUGCCAUUAGGUUCAUUUAUUCUGUAUUGGUCCAAGGCCGCUCGUGACCGUGAGCACGGCUGAUAUAUCAGUUUUACACUCUGCAGAGGUUGUACACUUUCACUGUGAGUCGUGAUUUACCCUUUCGCCCGAGGUGAUCAGCCCCUUAGCCCACUCCCAAGGAAGACCGGCAGGGUUCACUAUGAAGCCUUUCAAAGGUUCGUCUAACAAGUUAGGGCCGCUAGGUUUCGUUAGUCAGUCCGUGUGACUCACCCGCAGGAAUCCACGGUCUGCUAUCCCCCACUUGCGCCACAAGGGUAACCACUAACAAGCUAGAAAAGGUCCUCAUACUGAGCUAAAGCCAGAGCCAUAUAGCCCUCACAGUUGUACUGUAAGUCCCGGAUGGUCAGAUACAGAUAAGUCCUUAUGGAGAGAAACUAGAGCACCAUAUAAUAGCCCAAUGCUCCAGCCCUCUUUUUCCAAUGUUGCUAAAAAGUCAUCUUUAAUGUUUAUUGCAUAAUUCUUUAGUCAAAUUACAAGAUCAUGGUUUAGUGGAGCACUAGCAUAAGCUACCUAAUGCCAAACCAUAGGUGACAAGGUAUAAGAUCAAUACUAGGUAAUCCUUAUCAAGGAGACACAUGCAAUAUGAUUUGUGUGAUUAAAGUUAUUAGGAAACAAGGAUGAUCCCAUGCUAUACUUGCCUUGAUCACCCUGGUCCUGCUGAUCCUGCUCGUAGAAGUACUCUUGUUCACCCACGAACUGCUCACCGUCUACUUGUAACCACCACAUCAACAACAAUCAUCCAAAGGCAAUCAUGCAAAGCAAACAAGCCUAUUAUUAGAACAGUACACCAACAGUAAUAAAUAAAGAUAAAAAGUUUAUAAAACGAAUCUACAACGCCCUAUGAUCACACAGACGUAAAGAUCACGAAAAUCGGAGUUAUAACGAAGAAGUUAUGAUUUUCCAAAGUUUUACUUUAGAUAAAUAAUAGAUUAAAUCUAAACUCAGAUUUAAAAAGUUGAAAACUUGUACUACAGUAGCAUUAGACUAUAGAUUAUGCGAAAACGAAUCUAACGCAACUUGAACGGAUUAAAUCGGAGUUAAAACGAAGUUUUUAUGAGCAAAAUAGAUUCGAUGGCAAAACUGUAAAUCUGGGAAACUUCUUUUUGAACUGCGCGGCUGGAAUACGUUUUCCAACUUGGAAAGCGUAAAACGGGAAAGCGUAAAGGACUGCGGGUUAUAACAUUAAAAAGCGCAGGGGGUUUUCUGAAAAAUAGCCGGCCGAAGGGGUAUCCUUCGUUUCUGGCCGUUGGAUCUCAAACCGGUGGCCAGGAUUAGAUCGGGGUGGGGGAAGGGGAAACCGGCCGGCCGGAGUUGAGCAUGGCGCGACGGCUCCAUGGCCGGAGUUGGCCGGCGUUCGGCGUCCGGUUGACUUAGGGCACUAGAAAGAGAACCGAAAGCACCGGGGCGCUCAGAAGCUUGUCGCGAACUCACCUGAGGCAAGAACCGCGACAAAGAAAGGCCGGCUAGGGCUCGCGACGACGAACGGCGGACGACGGCUCUGCAAAGAGGUUCGGCGAGGGUUAGCAUUGAGCACGGUGCACGAAAACGAGAAGGGAAAGUUUCGGCGACUUCGUAAGGCGAUUCCGACGCCCGGCCAGCUGCUCACGGAGACUCACAGGCGCUGCAGCGGUGGAUUGGGUCACGGCGGAUCUCGGUGGUGAGCUUGAGCGAAAAUCGACGCGGUGGCUGCGGCUGGGGAUGAAUUGGGGGGUUGCGGGGCUUCGGGGCGGUAUUUAAAGGACGGGAAUCGGGCGAAAUCGAGACUCCUCGCCCGAAUCGCGCGCGUGGUUGAGCUCGGACUCGUGUCCUGGCCGGACUCAAGGUGGAAGACGACCCUGACCGCUGGGCCCCACCUGUCGGUGACACGGAAGCGUGGGGUCGGCCUGUCAUCUGCUGCGGCGAAGGGAGAGGAGGUGCGCGGCGCUGGUUGUCCUCCUGGGCCGCGAGGCGGGCCGACUGGCGCUGGGCCGGAGCAAGGAGGAGAAAGGGGGAAGGGGGCAGGCAGGCCGCGGGGGAAAAGAAAUGGGCCGAGCCCGAGAGAAGAAGGGGAAGAGGAAAUGCGGGCCGCGGGGGGGGAAAGAAGGGGUUGGGCCAAGCCCAAGUCGGGUAGGGAGAGGGAAAUGUCCUUUUCCAAUUUUCCAAUUUAUGUUUUGCUCAAAUAUUUUGAAAAGAAAAACAAAACCAAUUUGAAAAGAAAAACUUCACACACAAAAAUACAUGCAGCAGCAUGAAUGCACAUACAUGUUUCUAAAUCCUAUAGUGAAUUUUAUUCCAAAAAUUAUUUUCUCACUAUUCUUUAGUGCCCACAUGAGAUAAUUAAAUCAAUUAGCCUAUUUGGAAAAGUGAAAUUUUUAGGGUGUUACAUGAAUCAGGAGUUGCUUUCAUACCGCCAUCUUGAAUCAAGAAUAAAAGGUUGAGUGUGGUCUGUCAUGAUGUAUUAUUCGGGCCUCAAACUCUCAAAAUGUAUUUAGGUCUCUAAACUUGUCUUGGUUUGCAAUAGUCCAUAAAAUUUAAAAUACUUUAAUUUUUUUGGAUCAUGUACUUAUCCCAAGGUGUCACCUAGAUCCCUAAAGUUAUUACGAGACUCAAUUGCUUGUGCACGAUGUUGCGUGCUAUGAUGGAUUCCCUUGGCUUAGUUCUUCA